AUUGAACGCUGGCGGCAUGCUUUAUACAUGCAAGUCGAACGGCAGCGGGGAGGAGCUUGCUUCUCUGCCGGCGAGUGGCGAACGGGUGAGUAAUACAUCGGAACGUGUCGAGAAGAGGGGGAUAACCACCCGAAAGGGUGGCUAAUACCGCAUAAAUUCUGAGGAAGAAAGCUGGGGACCUAGGAAUAGGCCUAGCGCUUUUUGAGCGGCCGAUGUCGGAUUAGCUAGUUGGUGAGGUAAAGGCUCACCAAGGCGAAGAUCUGUAGCGGGUCUGAGAGGAUGAUCCGCCACACUGGGACUGAGACACGGCCCAGACUCCUACGGGAGGCAGCAGUGGGGAAUUUUGGACAAUGGGGGCAACCCUGAUCCAGCCAUGCCGCGUGUAUGAAGAAGGCCUUAGGGUUGUAAAGUACUUUUGUUAGGGAAGAAAAGUCAGCUGUGAAUAAUGGCUGAUACUGACGGUACCUAAAGAAUAAGCACCGGCUAACUACGUG
Molecule: ribosomal RNA, 494 nt
Filed under: uncultured bacterium
Lineage: Bacteria
Description: partial 16S ribosomal RNA
Rfam family: Bacterial small subunit ribosomal RNA
Source: RNAcentral